RNAcentral lists this ribosomal RNA (470 nucleotides) under uncultured organism. Its description in RNAcentral is "partial 16S ribosomal RNA". It matches the Rfam family "Bacterial small subunit ribosomal RNA", at positions 335 to 797 of the family's 1533-position model. The record is from RNAcentral.
ACUCCUACGGGAGGCAGCAGUGGGGAAUUUUGGACAAUGGGCGAAAGCCUGAUCCAGCAAUGCCGCGUGAGUGAAGAAGGCCUUCGGGUUGUAAAGCUCUUUUGUCAGGGAAGAAACGGUGAGAGCUAAUAUCUUUUGCUAAUGACGGUACCUGAAGAAUAAGCACCGGCUAACUACGUGCCAGCAGCCGCGGUAAUACGUAGGGUGCAAGCGUUAAUCGGAAUUACUGGGCGUAAAGCGUGCGCAGGCGGUUUUGUAAGUCUGAUGUGAAAUCCCCGGGCUCAACCUGGGAAUUGCAUUGGAGACUGCAAGGCUAGAAUCUGGCAGAGGGGGGUAGAAUUCCACGUGUAGCAGUGAAAUGCGUAGAUAUGUGGAGGAACACCGAUGGCGAAGGCAGCCCCCUGGGUCAAGAUUGACGCUCAUGCACGAAAGCGUGGGGAGCAAACAGGAUUAGAAACCCUUGUAGUCCC